CUGUUAAAAUACAAAGUCCCAGCACUGACAAAAACAGAGAACGUCCCCCUUGUGAUGAGCUCAGUGCCCUUCCUCUCAGGAGCUGCGCUGUGGAGAGGCAGCACCAUUUUGGAAACCACCACGCCUCAGGGCUACCUGGCCUAGGGAAUGGCGUCCUGCCUCUCUUCUCACCUUCGUUUGAGAGGAACAGGACAGAAGGCAGGUACUGAGAGAAACUAAGACUCCAGAGAAGGGAUGCCCAGAUCUCCUGUGCUUAAGUAAAGGGAAACUCCAGCAGAAUAAUCUUAUUAGCAGGCUUUGUACUGCAGCCAGAGGAUGAAGUACUGGACACAAAGAAGCCUUCAUAAAGGCUAAGAGCUGAACCCCCAGUGGCAUGAUCUCCACAAACUGUGCACAGAGAGGAUUUUGAAGUACAGAGAUACAGGCCAUUCUGAGGAAAAGUGCUGGCUUGUUUCCUCCGGGUUCAGCAAAACACCUGCCUGCACCUGUGUGAGGGUGGCUGCAGGGCUCCACCCUGGGCCUAGCCCACACCCAGCCUGGGCACCAUGCUGCCUCACAGCCCCGUGGGCAGGAGCUGUGCAAGAGCCUGAGGUGAGGCUCCACCACCACUGCAACACUGUUGUGGCUGUAGCUGUGGAUGCAGAUAUGGAUACAGUCAUGGACAUCGAUGGCACUUCCUGGAGAUGA
Cygnus olor (mute swan) is the source of this 687-nucleotide long non-coding RNA. RefSeq lists it as uncharacterized. The transcript has 3 exons. NCBI's taxonomy places the organism in Eukaryota, Metazoa, Chordata, Aves, Anseriformes, Anatidae. The record is from RefSeq and is a predicted model, not a curated record.